RNAcentral lists this ribosomal RNA (465 nucleotides) under uncultured bacterium. RNAcentral describes it as "partial 16S ribosomal RNA". It matches the Rfam family "Bacterial small subunit ribosomal RNA", at positions 338 to 795 of the family's 1533-position model. The record is from RNAcentral.
CCUACGGGAGGCAGCAGUGGGGAAUAUUGCGCAAUGGGCGAAAGCCUGACGCAGCUACGCCGCGUGCGGGAUGAAGGUCCUCGGAUCGUAAACCUCUGUCAGCAGGGAAGAACGGUCACUGUGCUAAUCAGCAGUGAAUUGACGGCACCUGCAAAGGAAGCACCGGCUAACUCCGUGCCAGCAGCCGCGGUAAUACGGAGGGUGCGAGCGUUAAUCGGAAUUACUGGGCGUAAAGCGCUCGUAGGCGGUAUGUCAAGUCAAGGGUGAAAUCCCCGCGCUCAACGUGGGAACUGCCUUUGAAACUGGCAGACUGGAGUGUGUGAGAGGAUAGUGGAAUUCCAGGUGUAGGAGUGAAAUCCGUAGAUAUCUGGAGGAACAUCAGUGGCGAAGGCGACUAUCUGGCACAUAACUGACGCUGAGGAGCGAAAGCGUGGGUAGCAAACAGGAUUAGAUACCCUUGUAGUC